CCACCGGGAUGUUCAUAACCCUUUGUUGUCCGACUCUGUUGCCUCCGGGGCGACCCUGCCUUCGGGCGGGGGCUCCGGGUGGACACUUCAAACUCUUGCGUAACUUUGCAGUCUGAGUAAAUUUAAUUAAUAAAUUAAAACUUUUAACAACGGAUCUCUUGGUUCUGGCAUCGAUGAAGAACGCAGCGAAAUGCGAUAAGUAAUGUGAAUUGCAGAAUUCAGUGAAUCAUCGAAUCUUUGAACGCACAUUGCGCCCCCUGGUAUUCCGGGGGGCAUGCCUGUUCGAGCGUCAUUUCACCACUCAAGCCUCGCUUGGUAUUGGGCAACGCGGUCCGCCGCGUGCCUCAAAUCGACCGGCUGGGUCUUCUGUCCCCUAAGCGUUGUGGAAACUAUUCGCUAAAGGGUGCUCGGGAGGCUACGCCGUAAAACAAACCCAUUUCUAAGGUUGACCUCGGAUCAGGUAGGGAUACCCGCUGAACUUAAGCAUAUCA
Molecule: ribosomal RNA, 491 nt
Filed under: Cladosporium sp. DY115-21-12-M10
Lineage: Eukaryota; Fungi; Ascomycota; Dothideomycetes; Cladosporiales; Cladosporiaceae
Description: eukaryotic LSU rRNA
Rfam family: 5.8S ribosomal RNA (bases 139-292)
Source: RNAcentral